Molecule: ribosomal RNA, 300 nt
Filed under: Escherichia coli
Lineage: Bacteria; Pseudomonadati; Pseudomonadota; Gammaproteobacteria; Enterobacterales; Enterobacteriaceae
Description: bacterial SSU rRNA
Rfam family: Bacterial small subunit ribosomal RNA
Source: RNAcentral
ACGCUGGCGGCAGGCCUAACACAUGCAAGUCGAACGGUAACAGGAAGAAGCUUGCUUCUUUGCUGACGAGUGGCGGACGGGUGAGUAAUGUCUGGGAAACUGCCUGAUGGAGGGGGAUAACUACUGGAAACGGUAGCUAAUACCGCAUAACGUCGCAAGACCAAAGAGGGGGACCUUCGGGCCUCUUGCCAUCGGAUGUGCCCAGAUGGGAUUAGCUAGUAGGUGGGGUAACGGCUCACCUAGGCGACGAUCCCUAGCUGGUCUGAGAGGAUGACCAGCCACACUGGAACUGAGACACGG